RNAcentral lists this ribosomal RNA (254 nucleotides) under uncultured bacterium. RNAcentral's name for it is "partial 16S ribosomal RNA". It matches the Rfam family "Archaeal small subunit ribosomal RNA", at positions 474 to 727 of the family's 1478-position model. The record is from RNAcentral.
CACCGGCGUCACAAGUGGGAAUCGUGUUUAUUGGGCCUAAAGCGUUCGUAGCCUGUUUGGUAAAUCUUUUGUGAAAUCGUUGUGCUCAACAUAACGGCGUGCAGAAGACACUGCCAGACUAGGGACCAGGAGGAGUCAGAGGUAUUGUCGGGGGAGCGGUAAAAUGCUAUAAUCCCGAUAAGACCACCUGUGGCGAAGGCGUCUGACUAGAAUGGAUCCGACGGUGAGGGACGAAGGCCAGGGGAGCGAACCGG